RNAcentral lists this microRNA precursor (204 nucleotides) under Oryza barthii. RNAcentral describes it as "MIR812 microRNA precursor family". It matches the Rfam family "MIR812 microRNA precursor family". Lineage: Eukaryota; Viridiplantae; Streptophyta; Magnoliopsida; Poales; Poaceae. The record is from Rfam by way of RNAcentral.
AAUAGAUAACGUGUUGACUUUUUCUCAUAUGUUUGACCAUUUGUCUUAUUCAAAAAAUUUACGUAAUUAUAAUUUAUUUUGCUAUGAGUUGUUUUAUCACUCAUAGUACUUUAAGUGUGAUUUAUAUUUUAUACAUUUGCAUAAAAAUUUUUAAAUAAGACGAAUGGUCAAACAUGUGAGAAAAAAUCAAUGGCGUCAUCUAUU